UUUUCACUCUGUGCAGUCAGGUUUGCCCGCCCCUAGCAGGUCACAGAGGAGGUUCCACAAUCAUCAUGCUGUUGUUUGACCCUGAAUGAUUUCCUGUUUCUUCCAUUAGGCUCCAAAUCAGAGAUCUGCAGCUGGACACUUCAUGCACCCUCUAUCAGGAAACCUGGCUGAAUUGGCUGGGGGAAAAGAAGAGACAGAUGGCCAUCUGUGACUAGAAUAUCCUUACUUGCAGCUUGUGUGAUCCACAGAAACUUGGAGGCUUCCAGGAAAAGUGAGCUUUAUCAUCAAGUAGAAGUUACAAGAACUCACCAAUAUGAAAAAAAAAAAAAAUCAAUUAUUUGGGAUACUCCAACCCCUCCCAACUCCCAGUUCCUGUAGAAGCCAAGGUGUCACUCUCUCAGCUUAUGCUGGGGCAGUGAGAGUGCCUGUACUCCUGGAGAUGUGACCCAGCUUCAUCCCAAGCCUGCACGUGUGUCCUCCCUCUUACCCCAGAAGUGAAUUAUGCUGUGGUCUCUCAGAUGAGCCCAUGGGGACUCCAGCAAGGAUGAGGACUGCAGGGUGUGCUGUAUGGACCUAAGUCCUUGCUGGCCAAAAUGUUUUCUGAUUACAGAAUUGAAUUCUAUAUGAAUCACUCUGUCUGUUCUGAAGUAUUUUCCCGUAGAGGCAGUGGUUAGUAGUUCAGCUUGAGUUAAAUGUUACAUUUUCUGUUUAACUAAUUACAUAUUACUAAAAAAAAUCCACUGUAAACAAAGUUGAGAAACAGUGCCUUAAAGUUUGUUACUGUAUUUAUAGAGGUCAGUCAAGCAUACACUGGUAAAAUAAUAACUGUUUGCUCUGUACAUAAUCUCCUUGUUCUGGAUUACAUCAGCGCUUGCCCGAAUACAAUUAAAGUACCUGACACACCACAGCAAAAAUUCUGCCAAAUGCUGAACUCACCCAGGCUCAGAUAUGUGAGCUAUACUCAGGCCUCUCCCAGCUUUUGUUUACCUGGUGCUGAUCAUGCUGAUCUAACUACAAAAUGUCCAAACUGCAGCACAAUCAGAAUGAGUGCUUCCCAUGCUGGCUGGGGUAAAACCAGUUUAGUCUGCAAUAUACUUGGCUCAAACCCAGAAAGGUUUUCAGGCAAUUGCACUGUAAACCAUGGCACAGAGGUUAGCUUUCAGUGAAGAGCAGGGCUGUAGCAAGGUGGAGGACUUUGGAGAAGCAGAGGAUGUUAAUCCAUAGGUAGUUUCUCACCACUGGAGACAGUGGCUGAUAAAUGGCUAAAACCUGGGCAGAGGCUCAAGGUGGAGAGUGGAAAUAGUGCCUGGAGUUCUCAGUCAUGAUUACAGAGCACACCAAGCACAAAGCACUGUGGGUCUGGUGAGAUGGAACGUCUGCCUCCUGCACUGCUGUCCUGCAGCCAAGCACAUGAGGGCUGGACCUGCUCCCCUCUCAGUGAACUGCCCUGCUGCCACAAACAUGGUCCUUAAAGCCUUCAGGAGCAGGCAUCAGGGCCUUGGACACCUCAGUUUUCCUGAAAAUGAAGAAUGCUAACAGGAGGAAAAGGGAACAUGUUUUUUUCCCCUGUACCAUCUGUUUCACAGCAAAAAGCACUCCUGUGAUUGUAGAUCAAUCAAGGGAGUUUACGACUCCAGAUGAUGUGUUGGUGUGUAGCAGCACUCUGCUCAUCCCUCCCUGGAUUGGUCUUAAUUUCUGACACCCUAAUAACCUCCUGCUCCUACCUGCCUGGGCCUCCAGUGGGACUUGAUUAAGUGCUUAUAGUUUAACUUGUGAACAGGAAGAGGAUCUCCUGUGUAAUGGAAGUGAAGUGUUGUAGGGCUUGGCUGAGUAAGGGCUGGCUGCAAAGGCAGUGAGAUCAGUUCUUCCAGGGUCGGUAAAAAAGAGAGAAGGAAGAGAAGAACCAGGCCCACAUUUUUUAUGGAUCUUUUCCUUUUGGCUGAAUCUGUUAAUGCCAGCAAAAUCUGGGGUACUUCAAAAAAAUAAAGCCACUAUUGUCAACAUUAUUUAAGGGAUAGCAGAAUCCAGGACAGGAGAUCACCAUUAAACAACAUUCUAUCUUGAAAGACACUGCGUAAGAAGGCAGUCUAUGAUAUUGAUCCUGGCUUUCUUUCAAAACUUUAAAAAUGUUAUAAAUCUGGCAAUGUAAGUGUUGUUCUAUGAUGUGAGGGAAAUGGGAAUCAAAACUGAUCUUCACAGUCUUGUACUUUGAGCAAGUCAUACUGUUGAUCACCUAAGCAUCCAAACAUUUAUGUUUUAUUUAUAAAUAAGCCAAGUCUUUUCCAAGGCUCACUUCCUGGUGAAAAGACAGCAUUCAAACCACAGAAAUCCUUUGUGUCAUGUGUACUGCUCAUUAUUCUGGGAAACUCUGAGAGAUGCCUAUUGUAUACUGAAUUCUUUGUUUCAAGCUUCCAGAGGUCCUCCUGGGAUGCUUCCCCACAAAGUUACUGUGGCCGUGUUUAACAAGCACUUGAAACCCAGAGCAUGUACUUGUACAAAAAUGAGAAUAUGUAGCAGCAUGUGAAGUGCUAUGGAAAAUUGCAGCCUGGCUCAAUGCUGGGGGAGAGGAAUCUCUACCAUUGUCAGCAGGAAACUUCUGGAGGUCUGAAAUAGUAAGAGGAAUAAUAGAAUGUGAAAAAUAAAUGUGAUUUAGGAAUGUACAUAUUUUUCCAUUUCAGUAUUGAGUACCUGUAAAUAGUUUCAUUUUGGAGAUUCUAGAUUUUGGAGUUCUAGAAAUACAUAUCUAUUUGAGAAUUGCUGGAGAACAGUAGCAAAAUUCUGCCUAUUAAAUUGCAUAGCUAUUUCUGAAAGCCAAACCAGCCAGCUUCAGAAAAUACCUUUUGACAUCCACUCUGACUUUAAAUUUAUGCCCCUUAAGAACAAGAGGAAAUACAUUGGUGUUUUCUAGAGGCUGAGUUUUAUAGAGAGACCCACAGUGUGAAACACCCACAGCAGCACAGUCCAUGAAAAAUUCUGACCUUCAUUUUAGCAUUCUUUUAGCAGUUGGCCUGGAAAUCACUGAGCCCUUUGUACGUCCUUUUGUUCUGUUUUUAAGCAAUAUGCUUGCAAUAAGCAGAAGUGUCCGUAUCUCUUCCGUGGGUGUCUAGAAAAUCUCGCUGUACAAUUUGCUGCAUAGCCUUUUACCAGGUUCACAAACACCAAUGAUUGCAUAUGAUAAUUGUGCCCACAGCCUUUUAUUGACUCAUUUUAACAACAGGAAUUGCAUCAUUUAUAAAGACCAGUUACUUUUUCUUCUAUUUAGAAUUCUCAUUAAAAGUUCAAUGACUUAUAGUCCAUCAAAAGUUCAACGAUUUAGAGUAGAUCACUUUCACAAUUCCUACGAAUUCAUUAACACUGUAUUUAUAAUGUUGCACAGGGAAAUUGUAAGACUGUUUCUAGAUUGGCAAUGAAAACAUUUGUCACAAAAUAGGAAUGUGAUUUUGGGACCAAUCUGGAGCAUCAGGUCCAGCAAACCAACCACCUCAAUAUCUUGUCAUCAGAUCCAAGCUAUCUGAGCCUGAUUUAAUUCUGUACUCCUCUACUUCAUUGUCACGACUUUUGCUUUUCCAGCAAGGUUCAUGCACUGAUUGUUCCUUUCUGCAGUACAACAGCCUAUGUUCACAUUUUUCUCCUCAUGAUGAUGUUUCUAUGUGAAGCAAAAAACACUGAAUGUUUUCAAGCACAUUUUUGCAGAAAUUAAUAGAGGACACUGUUACAAAGUCUCAUGUUUUCCAGAAGCCAUUCUGCAAGGAUGGAGAGUUGGGUAACAAGCUACAGUAAACUUAUGUGAUGAGUAUGUAGUUUCCUCUUCCAUGAACUUUACAUUUGCUGUGCAUUUUGGAGCAUAAAGAAGGAAUAAUCAUAUAUAUAAUUUAUACAUUUUAUAAGUUUAUCUUAUAAGUAUUUACAAGUUUAUAACUUACAAGUUUUGUAAGUUUAUAUUAUAAACUAUAUAUUAUAAGUUUACCUUUCUGUAUUUAGGUGUACAUCCUUUUUGCCUCUAGAGUAGAGACUUCUGUUACUCAGUAAAAAGAGAUCAACCCUCACACUUCAUAUAAUGGCAUAUUGACCAAUUUUCUGCUGAAACUUCUUAUUUUUACUGACUGAGUUUUCACACUGGCAGCAUAAGAAUGAAUUGGUAAGUUGAUUUAGCUAUCAUUAGCUAUGUGUCAGCUAUCAUUAGAAUGAAAUCAGUGGCAUAUAAAUAGUGUUUACUAACCUAAUGCAUAGCUGAUGUUUGCAUCCUAACUUUCCUUUUAAUAGUAUCCAAGAACAUGGCUUCAAAUUUGGAUGCACUUCAGUUACUGAAUUAAUAUUCUUACUCUCUCUGAAGAACUGAAGGCCUGUCCCUUCAAGAAAAUACUUAUGAUCUCAGAGGAAAAGCUUUAAGAUUAUAACAGAGGGAAGGACUGACUUCAAAAGGAUUUUGCACAGAGCUUCUCCAUCAGACCAGUGAAAAAUAGAAUUGGGAAGCAUAGAUGCCCAUGGAAAAAAGGGAAAACAAAGCACUGAGGGAGUGGAGGACAGAGGCCCUGAAGAUGUGUGCAAAUGGUCUCCAUAGGAAUGAACUUCAGCUAAAGACAUUGGCUAAAUCAGCAUGAAUUACAAUGAGAAGCCAGGAUUUCUAAAAUCUUAAUAGGCAUAUUUAGCUACCUCUUAUUAUCUACUUCCUCUUAUUCAGAGCAAAUGAUCACAGAUAAAUCACAGAUCUACACAUUUUGCACAUGAUGUAAAAAUUGUGGAAAUAAUUGAACAGGAAUAUGAGGAGCAUAUAGACAAAUUUUAAUUGCUUGUCUUAUUGCUCCUGCCUGCUGCUAAGUUUGAACCCUUGAAUCCUCUGUUCUUCUAAUCAAUACAGGAAUACAAAAUGUGCCUUUUGUUUAGGAAGUCACUAGUACAUCAGCUUCAACUGAAGUAAGCAGAAAUGAAAAGCUUAUGUUUUCCUGCAAAAGUGAGUGACCAGCAGUAAAUUCUGGGUAAUGAAAGGGGUUUGUUUCAUGAGAGAUCUCAGGCAGAGCUAACCACAAGUAUGUGUCAUUCUUUAUUUAUGGCGAAGUUGAGAGAGGAAAGCCAGUCUGCCUUUAACAUUUCAAAGCUAAAAGUCACACUCAAAAUAUCUUCAAGUUAUUAGUAAAAUUAAUGUCCUUACACCUGCUAUAAUUCUCCAAAUAUAUAAAUACCCUGCUCUGAAUAUGUACCUCAAAUAUAUAGUUCUUGCCAUCACUAAUGUAAUCCAAAUAAUUUGGUACUUUUAAAACAACUCAUUGAGAGUCUUUCUAAUUGAUUGGUAAACAGGUUUAUGCUGGGAUGGUAUUAUCAUUUAAUGGCCUUAAAAAGCAUAAAACUACUGAAUUAUUGAACCUAAUUUAAAUUCUACUCAGAGGCAGAAAACCCACAACAAAUCUGUUCUUGCUCAAAAUAAUUUUUUGUUGUUAAUUUGCAGUUUAAAUGUUGAAAGAAUUUUCUGAAACCUGAUUUUAUUUAUUUUGAUGAUAUAUCAGGCUUAUAAGAUACUGCAUAUUUUUAUAAUGGGAAAUGUCAUUUAUUUCUUGAGCUGCAAUUAAUAGUAUACUUUUUAUUUCUUGUAUUGCGAUAAUUUUCAUUGUUUUCACCCUAACAAUUUAGCUAUUAUAAUUCAAAAUAGUAGUGUUGAAAGACAAAUAAGCAAAUGAGCUUUUUAUAAAUAAAUAAUCUUGGGCUUAUUUGUAUUUUUCAUUUAAUAUCAUUUAACACAAACAUUUGUUUCCUGAUUAAGAUGCUCAGGACACCCACCAUGUGGGGCUCUGAGCAGCUGGGUCUAGUGAAAGGUGCCCCAGCCCAUGGCAGGAGAAGUGGAACCAGGAAACUUGAAGGCUCCUUCUAGCCUAUGCAUUUCUAUGAUUAGAAAUACAGCAAUACCAAAAACUGGGCAUCAGCGUGUUUUACAGUGUUUUUGUCUGAGAAAAAUCAAAGCAAAAACCCCACAAUCCAAACAAAAACCUUACACAGUUUAACAGUCUAAAAAAUUCAAUAAGGAAAUAUUACCUUACCCUGAAUAUCCCCAGAGAUUCUGGCCUUUUAUCCAUUACUUUGGUAAUUUCCAGUGAUAUGGAAACCUGUUCUUUGCAUGCCUGUUCAGACUACUGUCCUUAUUUCAUUGAGGAUACUAAACUGCAGCUAGGUGUUAUAUAAUAUAAAAGCCUUUUAGGAAUUUAAAAACAUAGUCCAAAACAUCUUUUCUUCAUUUCUCCAUCAAUGUGAGCUGUAUACACAGUGUGAAAAUGCAGGACAAAACAUGUCAAGUAUUUUUCUUCAGUAUUAUAGACACUUCCUUGCCCUGCUCAUUGAGGUAGAUGGGUUCAUUUUCAUGCUAUUGGCAUUUCCUUAUGAAAAGGAAUAGUAAUUUAUUCUGUUCCAGCAUGGGGAAUGACCCACAGGUCUCUGCAUGGGCCAGUAGGAGACCUGCUGUGCUCAGAGAGCACAGCACUGUGAGGACUGCCUUUGCUGGGCUUUGCACAGGCUGCAAACCCAGCUGCAGCCAGACAGUUACUUAACUCUUCCAAAAAAGAGUAUUAGUUAACAAAAGCCUAAGGAAGUACAGGACAACCUUUCCAGCUUUGGCCUUUUCUUCUGAGCCUUUACCUUCCUUCCCAAACCAAAACUUCACUAGCCUUUGAGAAAAACAUCUGCUAUGACAGAGACUGAGUGCACUGGGGCCAACAUUUAAAUUUAAGGUGGCUUUGACUAGAGUCCAAAAUGCCUGGCAGAAUACUUAUACCAUAGACUGAUUCAAAGAGGUAAAUAUCAUACUAUGGCUCUGUUAUUUUAGGAGAACCUUCAACAUCAGCCUAUUUGUCAGAGCAAAGUGAAAUAGUCAGGACCCAAAUGAUCGUACCACCGCGGUGGAAGUCCAUGUUUUCAGGCAGGCUACCUACCCUCACCAGACUCAGAAACUGGAGAUUAUUGGGAUGGGAGAAAGUGGAAGAAAAGUGGAAAAUGGAAAGCGGAAAGCAAGGAAGGGUGGAAGGUGGGAAGAUUCAUGUGCUGUGCUCAUGAGGAUGUACUCAGGCAUCACCAUACGCCAGCCAUUCAUUUCCCCCUUCCUCAAGGACAUGAGCUUGUUUUUCUAUAGGAACCACCCCUGUACAACCAUGCCAUCUGCCUGUCUGCCUCCCAGCUCCAACUUCAGCACAACAUCCAACUUCAGCCAAGAUUGAGAGAGGUGCCACAUUCUCAAAGAUGCUAAGUUAUUACAAGUUCAUUGGAAAAUUAGCAGGCUAAAAGAGGAAAGAAGCCAAAUUUAGUGUCUCAUGGUGAGUUAAAGACAGAUCCAACUCAAUGUCUCUUUUUGAACAGGCAGCAGCCAUCUGGCCAGUGUGUAGGCACAUUUUGGCUGGUUUGUCAAGACACAGAAUCACAAAAUCACAGAAUUAUUAAGUGUGGAAAAAAUCUCCAAGUGCACCUUUGACUGAUCACACCUUGGCAACUAGACAGUGGUACUAAACGCCGCGUCCAAUUAUUUGUUGACCACAUCCAAGGACAUUGAUUCCACCACCUUCCUGGACAGCCCAUUCCAAUGCUUAACAAACAUAUCCAUGAAGAUAUUUUCCCUGAUGUUCAACCUGAAACUCCUUUCUUGCAGUUUGAGGUUGACCUCUUAUCCUGUCACAGGUUGUCUGGAAGAAGAGGCCAGCCCCACCUGGCCACACUCUCCUUUCAGGCAGUUGUGGAGAGUGAUAAGGUCACCCCUGAGCCUCCUUUUCUCCAAGCUAAA
Molecule: long non-coding RNA, 7753 nt
Organism: Parus major (Great Tit)
Lineage: Eukaryota; Metazoa; Chordata; Aves; Passeriformes; Paridae
Exons: 7
Source: RefSeq, a predicted model, not a curated record